CAAUAGCGUAUAUUAAAGUUGUUGCAGUUAAAAAGCUCGUAGUUGGAUUUCUGGUUGAAGCGACCGGUCGGGCGUUGAUUCGUCUGCACUGGAGUCGGUUUUGGCCAUCCUCUAGGAAAGUGCGUCUGGUAUUAAGUUAUCGGGCGUAUGAUCCUGGUCUUUUACUGUGAAAAAAUUAGAGUGUUUAAAGCAGGCCUUCGCCUUGAAUACAUUAGCAUGGAAUAAUAAGAUAGGACUUUGGUCUAUUUUGUUGGUUUGCAGACCGAAGUAAUGAUUAAUAGGGAUAGUUGGGGGUAUUUAUAUUCCGAUGUCAGAGGUGAAAGUCUUAGAUUUUCGGAAGAUAAACUUAUGCGAAAGCAUUUACCAAGGAUGUUUUCAUUAA
RNAcentral lists this ribosomal RNA (382 nucleotides) under uncultured eukaryote. RNAcentral describes it as "partial 18S ribosomal RNA". It matches the Rfam family "Eukaryotic small subunit ribosomal RNA", at positions 592 to 976 of the family's 1831-position model. The record is from RNAcentral.